AAUGGGGGCAACCCUGACGCAGCAAUGCCGCGUGAGUGAAGAAGGCCUUCGGGUCGUAAAGCUCUUUUAUGGGGGAAGAUGAUGACGGUACCCCAUGAAUAGGCACCGGCUAACUACGUGCCAGCAGCCGCGGUAAUACGUAGGGUGCGAGCGUUGUUCGGAAUUACUGGGCGUAAAGGGCGUGCAGGCGGAUUGGCGAGCCGGAGGUGAAAGCCCGGGGCUCAACCCCGGAGGGUCUUUCGGAACUGCCAGUCUUGAGAGGGUCAGGGGCCAGCGGAAUUCCUGGUGUAGAGGUGAAAUUCGUAGAGAUCAGGAGGAACACCGGCGGCGAAAGCGGCUGGCUGGGGCCACUCUGACGCUGAGGCGCGAAAGCGUGGGGAGCAAACAGGAUU
This 392-nucleotide ribosomal RNA is filed under the name uncultured delta proteobacterium. Its description in RNAcentral is "bacterial SSU rRNA". It matches the Rfam family "Bacterial small subunit ribosomal RNA", at positions 370 to 779 of the family's 1533-position model. The record is from RNAcentral. Lineage: Bacteria; Deltaproteobacteria.